RNAcentral lists this ribosomal RNA (256 nucleotides) under uncultured bacterium. RNAcentral's name for it is "partial 16S ribosomal RNA". It matches the Rfam family "Bacterial small subunit ribosomal RNA", at positions 524 to 776 of the family's 1533-position model. The record is from RNAcentral.
GACGUAGGUGGCGAACGUUAUCCGGAAUUAUUGGGCGUAAAGGGUGCGUAGGUGGCCUGACAAGUUAUCAGUGGCAAAUCGAGGCUCAACCUCGUGGAAACUGGUAAUACUGUUCGGCUUGAGUACAGGGGAGGUUAACGGAACUCUAUGUGGAGCGGUAAAAUGCACAGAUAUAUAGAAGAACAUCAAUAAAGGCGAAGGCAGUUAACUAUUCUGUUACUGACGCUGAGGCACGAAAGCGUGGGGAGCAAAACGG